AUCGCUUCUCGGCCUUUUGGCUAAGAUCAAGUGUAGUAUCUGUUUUUAUCAGUUUAAUAGUGCUGUAGUGAACAUAGGGGUGCAUGUAUCUUUUAGAAUUAAUGUUUUUGUUUCCUAUGGAUAAAUUCCAGAAGUGGAAUUUACUGGGUCAUAUGGUACUUCUACUUUAAUUUCUUGAGGAACUUCCAUACUGUUU
Molecule: small nuclear RNA, 196 nt
Organism: Lynx canadensis (Canada lynx)
Lineage: Eukaryota; Metazoa; Chordata; Mammalia; Carnivora; Felidae
Gene: U2
Rfam family: U2 spliceosomal RNA
About the family: U2 is a small nuclear RNA (snRNA) component of the spliceosome (involved in pre-mRNA splicing). Complementary binding between U2 snRNA (in an area lying towards the 5' end but 3' to hairpin I) and the branchpoint sequence (BPS) of the intron results the bulging out of an unpaired adenosine, on the BPS, which initiates a nucleophilic attack at the intronic 5' splice site, thus starting the first of two transesterification reactions that mediate splicing.
Source: Ensembl